This 459-nucleotide ribosomal RNA is filed under the name uncultured bacterium. RNAcentral's name for it is "partial 16S ribosomal RNA". It matches the Rfam family "Bacterial small subunit ribosomal RNA", at positions 338 to 795 of the family's 1533-position model. The record is from RNAcentral.
CCUACGGGAGGCAGCAGUGAGGAAUAUUGGUCAAUGGCCGUAAGGCUGAACCAGCCAAGUAGCGUGAGGGAAGACUGCCCUAUGGGUUGUAAACCUCUUUUAUGCGGGGGAAAAGGUGUCCACGUGUGGAUGUUUGCAGGUACCGCAUGAAUAAGGACCGUCUAAUUCCGUGCCAGCAGCCGCGGUAAUACGGAAGGUCCGGGCGUUUCCGGAGUUAUUGGGUUUAAAGGGAGCGUAGGCCGGUCGUUAAGCGUGCCGUGAAAUUUCGUGGCUCAACCAUGGGAGUGCGGCGCGAACUGGGGGCCUUGAGUGCGCGAGAGGCAGGCGGAAUUCGUGGUGUAGCGGUGAAAUGCUUAGAUAUCACGAAGAACCCCGAUGGCGAAGGCAGCCUGCCGGAGCGUUACUGACGCUGAGGCUCGAAAGCGCGGGGAGCGAACAGGAUUAGAUACCCUAGUAGUC